Molecule: ribosomal RNA, 562 nt
Filed under: uncultured bacterium
Lineage: Bacteria
Description: bacterial SSU rRNA
Rfam family: Bacterial small subunit ribosomal RNA
Source: RNAcentral
GGGAGGCAGCAGUGAGGAAUAUUGGACAAUGGAGGCAACUCUGAUCCAGCCAUGCCGCGUGCAGGAAGACGGCCCUAUGGGUUGUAAACUGCUUUUAUACAGGAAGAAACACUGCUACGAGUAGCAGCUUGACGGUACUGUAAGAAUAAGGACCGGCUAACUCCGUGCCAGCAGCCGGGGUAAUACGGAGGGUCCGAGCGUUAUCCGGAAUCAUUGGGUUUAAAGGGUCCGCAGGCGGUCAAUUAAGUCAGAGGUGAAAUCCCAUAGCUUAACUAUGGAACUGCCUUUGAUACUGGUUGACUUGAGUCAUAUGGAAGUAGAUAGAAUGUGUAGUGUAGCGGUGAAAUGCAUAGAUAUUACACAGAAUACCGAUUGCGAAGGCAGUCUACUACGUAUGUACUGACGCUCAUGGACGAAAGCGUGGGGAGCGAACAGGAUUAGAUACCCUGGUAGUCCACGCCGUAAACGAUGGAUACUAGUUGUUGGGAUUUAUCUCAGUGACUAAGCGAAAGUGAUAAGUAUCCCACCCUGGGGAGUAACGGUCGCAAGACUGAAACUCAAA